AGAGAUGUGUGAUGACGCAUAUCAAUAAGCGGAGGAAAAGAAACUAACAAGGAUUCCCUUAGUAACGGCGAGUGAAGCGGGAAGAGCUCAAAUUUGAAAUCUUCAAGGUUCUACCUUGACGAAUUGUAGUUUAUAGAAGUGUUUUCUGUUAGUAGAGUGGCAAAAGUUCUUUGGAAUAGGACAUCAUAGAGGGUGAGAAUCCCGUAUUUGGUCAUUCUUUCUAGCUUUGUGAUACACUUUCAACGAGUCGGAUUGUUUGGGAAUGCAGUCCAAAAUGGGUGGUAAAUUUCAUCUAAAGCUAAAUAUUGGCGAGAGACCGAUAGCGAACAAGUACCGUGAGGGAAAGAUGAAAAGAACUUUGAAAAGAGAGUUAAACAGUACGUGAAAUUGUCAAAAGGGAAGCGUUUGACACCAGUGUUGUUUUUCCGAAAAUCAAUUACGAAUGUUUUAUUUUUGAGAAGUUAUGACUUCAUCGGCUUGCUUCUCUCUUUAUGAAACUUUCUUAAUGCACUUUUCGGUUAACAAGUCAACAUCAAUUUCUUUUGUUGUAAAAGGGUAUGAGGAAGGUGGCUUUCUUUUCGGAGAAAGUGUUUAUAGCCUUGUACCUCUGCAAUCGGAGAGAUUGAGGUCUGCAGCGUAGAUCCUUCGGGGAUAGAUACAUUUGUGCUAAGUUAUAGCUUUUCAUAGACAACUUGUUGACUAUGUUUAGUCUUGUAGCUUACUUGCUUAUGCUAUUUUACCUACGCUUAGGAUGUUGAUCUGUAGUGCGUGCGC
RNAcentral lists this ribosomal RNA (774 nucleotides) under uncultured Neocallimastigales. RNAcentral's name for it is "partial large subunit ribosomal RNA". It matches the Rfam family "Eukaryotic large subunit ribosomal RNA", at positions 23 to 647 of the family's 3401-position model. The record is from RNAcentral. Lineage: Eukaryota; Fungi; Neocallimastigomycota; Neocallimastigomycetes; Neocallimastigales.